GACGAACGCUGGCGGCGUGCUUAACACAUGCAAGUCGAACGGUAAGGCCCUUCGGGGUACACGAGUGGCGAACGGGUGAGUAACACGUGGGUGGUCUGCCCUGCACUUCGGGAUAAGCCUGGGAAACUGGGUCUAAUACCGGAUAGGACCCUGGGAUGCAUGUCCUGGGGUGGAAAGCUUUUGCGGUGUGGGAUGGGCCCGCGGCCUAUCAGCUGGUUGGUGGGGUGAUGGCCUACCAAGGCGACGACGGGUAGCCGGCCUGAGAGGGUGACCGGCCACACUGGGACUGAGAUACGGCCCAGACUCCUACGGGAGGCAGCAGUGGGGAAUAUUGCACAAUGGGCGCAAGCCUGAUGCAGCGACGCCGCGUGAGGGAUGACGGCCUUCGGGUUGUAAACCUCUUUCAGCACCGACGAAGCGCAAGUGACGGUAGGUGCAGAAGAAGGACCGGCCAACUACGUGCCAGCAGCCGCAGUAA
This 478-nucleotide ribosomal RNA is filed under the name uncultured bacterium. Its description in RNAcentral is "partial 16S ribosomal RNA". It matches the Rfam family "Bacterial small subunit ribosomal RNA", at positions 28 to 523 of the family's 1533-position model. The record is from RNAcentral.